This 48-nucleotide non-coding RNA is filed under the name Schistosoma mansoni. The record is from RNAcentral. Lineage: Eukaryota; Metazoa; Platyhelminthes; Trematoda; Strigeidida; Schistosomatidae.
GUCCAGCUGACGAGUCUCAAAUAGGACGAAACACGCGUCAAACUGGAU